Molecule: non-coding RNA, 74 nt
Organism: Potamilus streckersoni
Lineage: Eukaryota; Metazoa; Mollusca; Bivalvia; Unionida; Unionidae
Source: the annotation of a GenBank genome assembly
AGCUCCGGUGGCCUAUUGGUUAGAGCGUCCGCCUCGAAUGCGGGAGGUCGUGAGUUCGAUCCCCGGUAGAGUCA